Small nuclear RNA from Protopterus annectens (West African lungfish), 104 nucleotides. The record is from RefSeq and is a predicted model, not a curated record. Lineage: Eukaryota; Metazoa; Chordata; Ceratodontiformes; Protopteridae.
CUGUGCUGUGUGAGAGUGGCUUUAAAAUUGAAAUGAUACAGAAAAGAUUAGCAUGGCCCCUGCACAAGGAUGACAUGCAAAUUAGUGAAGCGCUCCAUAUUUUU